CUCAGCUGAGCCUGGUAGAUGCCAGCUGACCGGCUGCAGCCCCUGAGUAGAGGUUGGCUGUCCUAGCAAUAGAGUAGGGCGGGGGCACAGCAGACAUGGGACCAUCAUCUGGAUUCCUAGACGUGCAACUGCAAGUUUGGGAUGUGAUGGAGAACGAGCUGCACAAGUCUCUGGGCUCCUGUAAAAGAUUGGUUGCAGAAAUGUCCUCAGAGUUGUUGGGAGGAUUCAAUAGAAGAUGCAUGCAAAGCACCUGGCUGAAUGCCCAGAGCCCUGCAGACACUCAGGAAUGAGUAACCAUGCAGAUUUUCUACGCCUUUAGACCAGAUAUUCUAAGAAACUUCCUGCUAUAGAUUAACUAGAUCCUGAUUGUGUUUUUCAUUUCCAGGCUUAGAAGAAAUAAAGGAAAUAUCCCAGGAGCAAAAACAAAACACACACAUGCUCCUCUCAAGAGUCACUGGCAUCCCAGCUGAAAAGUCAGCUCUACACCUAUGGGACCUAUGGGCCUGUUUCUGAGCUCUGUUUUGUCUCUUUGGUCUGAGUGUCUAUCUGAGGCCAAUACCACAGUACCAAAUGCGAUUGCUUUAGAGGAAGUCUUGAAAUCAGAUGAGGCUGAAGGCUGUUGAAUUAUGAGAAAGCGUCAUUUGAAGAGAUGGAUGCCUGUGACCCCGCCAGGCUCUGCAGACCUGGAGGCGGCUCCAGAUCUGGGGUGUGCGGCGCAUUGUGUGUCCAACAGGUGAUUAACUCUGCUGGUGACAUGUGUUUUUAGAUAUGUGUGUCUUUUCUAUGAGAGUAAAUCAUAAAGCCCACAGGAUGUGCAAGCAGCCAUUCUCGCUGGCCAGGCGGUGUUAGCGCUUGCAACGCACAUAGAUUAUAUCCAGGAGGAUGCAGUCAAUACUUUCUGGGUCCUUUUUAGGUUUUGG
RNAcentral lists this long non-coding RNA (920 nucleotides) under Homo sapiens (human). RNAcentral's name for it is "non-protein coding LINC01880:15". The record is from RNAcentral. Lineage: Eukaryota; Metazoa; Chordata; Mammalia; Primates; Hominidae.